CCGUAGCUCAGUGGUUAGAGCGGUCGGCUCAUAACCGAUUGGUCGCAGGUUCGAUCCCUGCCGGGCC
This 67-nucleotide transfer RNA is filed under the name marine eukaryotic metagenome. It matches the Rfam family "tRNA", at positions 5 to 66 of the family's 71-position model. Rfam says of the family: Transfer RNA (tRNA) molecules are approximately 80 nucleotides in length. The record is from RNAcentral.